AUGAAGAUGAACAUAGAUGGAGCCUGGUGGAUGGCCACCGAAUAUGUCGAAGAACACAACCAUGAUAUGAUAAAGAAGUUUGACCUAGUAAGAUUUCUGAGCACCCACAGAGGAUUCAGUCCUCACGAGAAGAAGUUCAUAAAGUUGCUACAUGAUUGUAACAUCGAUACAUCAAGAAUGGUCCAGAUAAUGUCCCUGAUCCACAGCAAAGAUGGAAGUCUGAGUAGCAUGCCCUACAUACCAGCAUACGUCACAAACCUAAAGGCAAAGUACCAUAGAGAGAGCAAGUUGGCUGACAUAGAAGACAUGACCGCCUACUUCGAAGAGAAAGCAAAGGUGGAUCCUGAUUUCUUCUACAGGAUAAGGUUGGACGAUGAGGACCGUGUCAGAAACAUGUAUUGGGUGCAUGGAAUAGAGGAGGUCUUUCCGUUGGCAGUGCACAUGCACUGCAGGUGGCACAUUAUUAAGAAGGCUGAAGAGAUGCUGGGACCAUUCUUUGCUGACCAUCCGGAGCUACACAAGGCAUUCGAGUUGUGUGUGGACCACAGCUUGACAGUGGAAGAGUUUGAACGGAGCUGGACAACUAUGAUUGAAAAAUACCAAACUACGCAACGCAGCAAGGGUUUCAAAGCUGUCUUGAAGCGUUACGUGAGCCCUGGCAACUCAUUGCUGCAGUUUGCCAAGCAAUAUUCAGCUUUGCAACAGAAAAUAUUGGGAUCUGAGCUGCAAUUCCAGGAAGAAAUAAAGUUGUCCAGCAUGUACGCAGCUUACCAGGUUGACGAAUGUACAUUCAAGGUGUGUACUCUCAGGGGCAUGUCCGAUUUUGAACCUGGAGACCCAGACAAGGGGAGAAACUACUUUGUGAAGGCCUUGGUAAACGAAGAUACACGUGGUCAUGCGUUUGCCCCACCAUUCAUACGACGGCGAUGGACUUGGGAUGUUGACGAUGCGUUGGGGCCACAAACAUCAAAUGCAGUUUUGGCUGACAUGAUGACAGGCCGGAGGCAACCAUGGACUCCUUAUCCUCCCCACCGCCCCCUCAGUCCCUCACAUUUCUCUCCCCGUUCCCCAUUCUCCCAUGGUGGCCACACCCCUCACUCCACAGCCGACCCUCUUCGUCACCAACGCCGGCGCUCCCUGGUCUGGCCGCCGCUCACCUUCGUCACCACCGUCCGUGCUUCCUGGUCAGUCCGCGGCUCCCCUUCGCAGCAGCUGCUCUUCCUCCCCUUCAUGUGGAAUCGCUCGAGGAAGUGUCCGAGGAGGCCCUCGAGCUCGGCAUGCUCGCGCCAGCGUAGGCGCCGGUGGAGGUGGACGUGGAGGUGUGGCACUCACACGCGCCUGCUCUACCCUGCACCUUCUCCGAAUUCGUUCGCCGAAGUGCUCGAGAAGGCGCUUGAGGUCGGCAUGCUCACCGGCGACGCCGGGCCCCUCCCUCCUCCUGAUGCCCUCUCCGUCGCCGCCUUGAGCCUCUCCACCCUCUCCCGUGCGGUCGUCCGGGUCCAGAUUGCUGCACCUUCUGGUUAUUUCCCGAGGGAGGAAAAGGAGGUGCUGAAAGGGGAUGGGAGCAACAAUACAAGGGCACUUUUCCCUUGGGACAUGGCCAGGGGUAUUUAUGUAUCUGCCUGGGGUCUUGGCAUGUCCUUGAGCACGCAUCAGGUGUUCUGCGACAACUCAAGUCACCUUCGUAAAUUCAGAAAGCCAAGGAGACAGGGGGACGUGCAGGGCGGGCGCGGCUCCGCGGGUGCCGAGGCAGGCUCCUGGGCAGUGGCUAUCUCGCGGAUGGGCCACACUGCAAGGGGGACGUGGGCUGGUACUUGGAAUAUUCCUCCGAUGGUGGAGUACGGUCAGUCAUAG
RNAcentral lists this ribosomal RNA (1854 nucleotides) under Triticum aestivum (bread wheat). RNAcentral's name for it is "partial small subunit ribosomal RNA". The record is from RNAcentral. Lineage: Eukaryota; Viridiplantae; Streptophyta; Magnoliopsida; Poales; Poaceae.